RNAcentral lists this ribosomal RNA (321 nucleotides) under uncultured Prevotella sp. RNAcentral's name for it is "partial 16S ribosomal RNA". The record is from RNAcentral. Lineage: Bacteria; Pseudomonadati; Bacteroidota; Bacteroidia; Bacteroidales; Prevotellaceae.
GGAGUCUGGUCCGUGUCUCAGUACCAGUGUGGGGGACCUUCCUCUCAGAACCCCUACCGAUCGAUGGAUAGGUGGGCCGUUACCCCGCCUACUUCCUAAUCGGACGCAUCCCCAUCCGCAAGCGGCUAAAGCCUUUGCUCCCACUCCGAGGACGUCAUGGGAGGUAUGGGGGAUUAAUCCGACUUUCGCCGGGCUAUACCCCGCUCGCGGGAAGGUUGGAUACGCGUUACUCACCCGUGCGCCGGUCGCCAUCACCUCGUCCGAGGACAAGGCAUGCUGCCCCGCGACUUGCAUGUGUUAAGCCUGUAGCUAGCGUUCAUC